CGGCGGACGGGUGAGUAAUACCUAGGAAUCUGCCUGGUAGUGGGGGAUAACGUUCGGAAACGGACGCUAAUACCGCAUACGUCCUACGGGAGAAAGCAGGGGACCUUCGGGCCUUGCGCUAUCAGAUGAGCCUAGGUCGGAUUAGCUAGUUGGUGAGGUAAUGGCUCACCAAGGCUACGAUCCGUAACUGGUCUGAGAGGAUGAUCAGUCACACUGGAACUGAGACACGGUCCAGACUCCUACGGGAGGCAGCAGUGGGGAAUAUUGGACAAUGGGCGAAAGCCUGAUCCAGCCAUGCCGCGUGUGUGAAGAAGGUCUUCGGAUUGUAAAGCACUUUAAGUUGGGAGGAAGGGCAUUAACCUAAUACGUUAGUGCUUUGACGUUACCGACAGAAUAAGCACCGGCUAACUCUGUGCCAGCAGCCGCGGUAAUACAGAGGGUGCAAGCGUUAAUCGGAAUUACUGGGCGUAAAGCGCGCGUAGGUGGUUUGUUAAGUUGAAUGUGAAAUCCCCGGGCUCAACCUGGGAACUGCAUCCAAAACUGGCAAGCUAGAGUAUGGUAGAGGGUGGUGGAAUUUCCUGUGUAG
RNAcentral lists this ribosomal RNA (586 nucleotides) under Pseudomonas sp. M4(2015). RNAcentral's name for it is "bacterial SSU rRNA". It matches the Rfam family "Bacterial small subunit ribosomal RNA", at positions 96 to 678 of the family's 1533-position model. Lineage: Bacteria; Pseudomonadati; Pseudomonadota; Gammaproteobacteria; Pseudomonadales; Pseudomonadaceae. The record is from RNAcentral.